RNAcentral lists this ribosomal RNA (851 nucleotides) under Frigoribacterium sp. RNAcentral's name for it is "bacterial SSU rRNA". It matches the Rfam family "Bacterial small subunit ribosomal RNA", at positions 637 to 1484 of the family's 1533-position model. The record is from RNAcentral. Lineage: Bacteria; Bacillati; Actinomycetota; Actinomycetes; Micrococcales; Microbacteriaceae.
CAGACUAGAGUGCGGUAGGGGAGAUUGGAAUUCCUGGUGUAGCGGUGGAAUGCGCAGAUAUCAGGAGGAACACCGAUGGCGAAGGCAGAUCUCUGGGCCGUAACUGACGCUGAGGAGCGAAAGCAUGGGGAGCGAACAGGAUUAGAUACCCUGGUAGUCCAUGCCGUAAACGUUGGGAACUAGAUGUGGGGACCAUUCCACGGUCUCCGUGUCGCAGCUAACGCAUUAAGUUCCCCGCCUGGGGAGUACGGCCGCAAGGCUAAAACUCAAAGGAAUUGACGGGGGCCCGCACAAGCGGCGGAGCAUGCGGAUUAAUUCGAUGCAACGCGAAGAACCUUACCAAGGCUUGACAUAUACCGGAAACGGCCAGAGAUGGUCGCCCCGCAAGGUCGGUAUACAGGUGGUGCAUGGUUGUCGUCAGCUCGUGUCGUGAGAUGUUGGGUUAAGUCCCGCAACGAGCGCAACCCUCGUUCUAUGUUGCCAGCACGUUAUGGUGGGAACUCAUAGGAGACUGCCGGGGUCAACUCGGAGGAAGGUGGGGAUGACGUCAAAUCAUCAUGCCCCUUAUGUCUUGGGCUUCACGCAUGCUACAAUGGCCGGUACAAAGGGCUGCGAUACCGUAAGGUGGAGCGAAUCCCAAAAAGCCGGUCUCAGUUCGGAUUGAGGUCUGCAACUCGACCUCAUGAAGUCGGAGUCGCUAGUAAUCGCAGAUCAGCAACGCUGCGGUGAAUACGUUCCCGGGCCUUGUACACACCGCCCGUCAAGUCAUGAAAGUCGGUAACACCCGAAGCCAGUGGCCUAACCCCUUGUGGGAUGGAGCUGUCGAAGGUGGGAUCGGUGAUUAGGACUAA